CCUACGGGUGGCAGCAGUGAGGAAUAUUGGUCAAUGGACGAGAGUCUGAACCAGCCAAGUAGCGUGAAGGAUGACUGCCCUAUGGGUUGUAAACUUCUUUUAUAUGGGAAUAAAACGUUCCACGUGUGGGAUUUUGUAUGUACCAUAUGAAUAAGGAUCGGCUAACUCCGUGCCAGCAGCCGCGGUAAUACGGAGGAUCCGAGCGUUAGCCGGAUUUAUUGGGUUUAAAGGGAGCGUAGGUGGAUUGUUAAGUCAGUUGUGAAAGUUCGCGGCUCAACCGUAAAAUUGCAGUUGAAACUGGCAGUCUUGAGUACAGUAGAGGUGUGCGGAAUUCGUGGUGUAGCGGUGAAAUGCUUAGAUAUCACGAAGAACUCCGAUGGCGAAGGCAGUUCACUGGACUGCAACUGACACUGAGGCUCGAAAGUGUGGGUAUCAAACAGGAUUAGAUACCCGUGUAGUC
RNAcentral lists this ribosomal RNA (460 nucleotides) under uncultured bacterium. Its description in RNAcentral is "partial 16S ribosomal RNA". It matches the Rfam family "Bacterial small subunit ribosomal RNA", at positions 338 to 795 of the family's 1533-position model. The record is from RNAcentral.